This 467-nucleotide long non-coding RNA is filed under the name Populus trichocarpa (black cottonwood). Its description in RNAcentral is "long non-coding RNA (PTRI_LNC003199)". The record is from RNAcentral. Lineage: Eukaryota; Viridiplantae; Streptophyta; Magnoliopsida; Malpighiales; Salicaceae.
AAGCAGCGGCUUUUCUUUUAGCAUUUGGCCACCGACUCAACGCACUCGCGACGCGAUUAUAUCCCGUCUAAUCGAGACCUUAUCCACCACGUCCGUUCUCUCCAAGCGCUACGGUACUAUACCUAAAGAAGAGGCCUCCGAAGCCUCCCGCCGCAUUGAGGAGGAGGCAUUCUCUGGCGCCUCCACCGUGGCUUCCUCCGAGAAGGACGGGCUUGAGGUUCUCCAGCUUUACUCUAAGGAGAUCAGUAAACGGAUGUUAGAGACCGUCAAGGCUCGGGCUGGAUCGGGUGCCAAUGGUGACAAUAGUGCGACGGAGACAGCGAGCGCUGAUGUGACGCCGAAGGCGGUGGCGAAUGAAGAGGUUUCGAGCUCUGCUGAGGCUGAAGCUUGAUCUAAUUAGGGUUUUUAGCUUCAAAUUUGGUAUGCUUUUAGGGUUUUUUUAUCUUUUUAAUUUUGGUGUUUACUAU